This 222-nucleotide long non-coding RNA is filed under the name Pan troglodytes (chimpanzee). RNAcentral's name for it is "long non-coding RNA NONPTRT004411". Lineage: Eukaryota; Metazoa; Chordata; Mammalia; Primates; Hominidae. The record is from RNAcentral.
CGAGAAAGGAAGACACAUGCAAGGAAUGAAACAGAAGCAUCAAGAAAACUACAUGAUGUCUCCACGGAUGACCGUAUUGAUAAUGGGUUAAUUCAACAAGGAGAGAAUGGAAAAACUGAUGGUCAGCAAAUUCCUAGGACAGAGCAGGAAGAGUGUGAUAGUAGUGUCCCUGCCUUGCAUAUGAAGAAAGUAAAGAAAAAUGAACAUGAAGAAUGGACCACA